Molecule: long non-coding RNA, 2264 nt
Filed under: Homo sapiens (human)
Lineage: Eukaryota; Metazoa; Chordata; Mammalia; Primates; Hominidae
Description: HSALNT0377197
Source: RNAcentral
UUGUGUGGAUAGUUGUUGAAUUUGGUGUUCCUGUUGCGGAGACCAUCGCUGGAGGGUUCUAUUCGGCCGUCUUGCUCCAUCUCCUGAAGCCUGACUUUUUUGAGCAUGCCCUAACACUAAAGGAAGCCAAAAGAUUGAACACCCCUGUCGUAGAUGGUAAUGAGUCCUGGAUGAAAAAGCCUGCACCCAGCUCUCUUCCUGGUGUGCUCAGCCUCCUCCUGUGAUGUAUCUGGAUUUCAUCCUCCAUGGUGAAAGGCAAAAGGCUGUUUAUCUCUUCUCUGGUCUGUGUAUGAAAGCUACAUGAAAAUGAGCAUUGAAAGGGUUAAGUGCACUCUUCAUGCAGAAAGACAAAACUUGUGGAUUUUCUAUUCCAUUGGGUCCAAACAAGAAGAACGGUCUGUUGCUAUUAUUUUAGGAUUCAACUCAAUAGCUGAUAAAUUUGAUUUCUUUCACACUCGGCAAAGACUUGAAACAUUGUAGCCCCAGAAUGGGAAGUCUCUUCUCCGAACUUAUGAACAUGUAACUCUUCAGUUCUCCCUCAACUUUAUUAAGCAUAUUGAGUUUCAAAAGACAUUCCUACUCUCCUUCUUCAAUAUCUUCUCUUUUUAAACGUUACUUUAUUUUUUAAAUGUAUUAUGCAGUUUUUAAGACUUUCAAAAAGGGAUAAGGAAAACCAAACCAAUACCUACGUAUCUAUCAAGCAGCUCAAGAAAUACAACAUUAGGAGCAGUUAAAUCCACUAUUUAUGCUCACUGCCUUCUAGAUAGAGUCUGUUACUUCCCAGAGGUCAAUUCCUGAGAGCCUAGGGACCUGGGCAUUGUCUUUGCCAUCUUUGUGAGGCCCUGGAGAUUCCCUUUAUGUCUCUGGCUUCUAUGUUGUCGAAGUCUAGGUUGACCUCGUGAUUUUUGAGGCUGUGGGUUAGCCUUGCAAUGUCUGGAACUUGGCUAUGGGUUUUGAAUGCUUUUCCUUGGGCCUUGUCGUCAGAUGGAAGCGCACAUAGCUUCCCAUGGCCACCUCUUCCAGGAUGUUCAAUGAGAAGUCCCAAAGCCCCGCAUGAGGAUCAGCCUGAGAGGCCAAGGGAAGCUGACCAAGCUCUCUGAACUUGAAAUGGACUAGACUCAUAAAGGAGGAAGCAGUGCCACUGUUUCCUGGAGCCUCAGCCCCCUAUGGGGACACCUUGUACUGACAGGGUGAGCCGGGCUGAGGCUGGGUUUGAGGGCAGGUCCAGCUGUCCUCUCACUUGGCCUCUUCUGAGCAGGGUUUCUCUUCCAGCCGUGGCACUGUCCUGGCUGGAGAGCUUCAGGGCAGUGUCUGCCCCAUACCCUCAUCUGGGCUCUGAGAUGGCUUCGUGGGUCAUUUUUGGUGAAGGGGGAGCUCAGAAUAUUUGCAUUAUUUUGUGGACAUUGGUCUUGACUAAGAAUAACUAAGAAUUGAAGGCCCAGGGGUCUUAAAGAUAAGAAAAAAAUGCAAAAACUUAAGGAGUCAUUUGCCCUGUUGCUCCUGGAUAUUGCAGCCAAAUAAACACAUUCCCAAAUUUAUUUAUGUUGCAGACCAGUCAUUUUUCCUUAUACAGGAAUCUUAUUAAAGCAAUAAAUCAAUGUUAACCUGGGUUUUAAAUUGGCCCAAUAUGUUUGGAGAAAUUGCUGGUUUAAUUUUCCUCUUUUUCAUUUUUCAAUUAACUAAUUUAGCUUUCCCAGUUGGGAUACCACAAACCUUAACACAUGAAUUUAUCUUGAAACCAGGAGGCCCCAACAUACAUUGCCAGCAAAACAAAAGAGGAAAACCCAACAUUUGUCCUGUCAUGAGACAGCAAAGAAGCACGGGUCCAGAAAAUAUCUAUCUUUGUUGCUGCAAACUACCUAAGCCUAAGCUCUGUGAAGCAGCCUCAACUGCCUGUAGACUCCCCUGAAUACUCUUUCUGAAUUUUCUCCACAUUCACUGUGACUAAAAGUUUCCAGAGCAUCUCUGUUGUAGACUGAAUGUUUAUAUCCCUCCUACUUCCCCAAAACUCAUAUGUUGAAGCCCUGACCCCUGAUGUGACUGUAUUUGGAGACAGGGCCUUUACAGAAGUAAUUAAGGUUAAAUGAGGCUAUAGGAUGGGGCUCUGAUCUAAUAGGAUUGGUGUCCUUAAGAGACACCAGAGAGCUUGUUUACUCUCUGAGUGUACAAGAAGAGGUCGUAUGGGCACACAAUGAGAUGGUGGCCACCUGCGAAGAGAAGAGGCCUCAGAAUGAAACCCACCCUUCUGGCACCUUGAUCUUGGA